UACGUAGGUGGCAAGCGUUGUCCGGAAUUAUUGGGCGUAAGGCGUCUGUAGGUGGCUUUUCAAGUCUGCCGUCAAAUCCCAGGGCUCAACCCUGGACAGGCGGUGGAAACUACCAAGCUGGAGUACGGUAGGGGCAGAGGGAAUUUCCGGUGGAGCGGUGAAAUGCAUUGAGAUCGGGAAGAACACCGACGGCGAAAGCACUCUGCUGGGCCGACACUGACACUGAGAGACGAAAGCUAGGGGAGCAAAUGGG
This 253-nucleotide ribosomal RNA is filed under the name uncultured bacterium. RNAcentral describes it as "partial 16S ribosomal RNA". It matches the Rfam family "Bacterial small subunit ribosomal RNA", at positions 524 to 776 of the family's 1533-position model. The record is from RNAcentral.